This 253-nucleotide ribosomal RNA is filed under the name uncultured bacterium. RNAcentral describes it as "partial 16S ribosomal RNA". It matches the Rfam family "Bacterial small subunit ribosomal RNA", at positions 524 to 776 of the family's 1533-position model. The record is from RNAcentral.
UACGGAGGGUGCAAGCGUUAUCCGGAUUCACUGGGUUUAAAGGGUGCGUAGGCGGGCAGGUAAGUCCGUGGUGAAAUCUCUGAGCUUAACUCAGAAACUGCCAUGGAUACUAUUUGUCUUGAAUAUUGUGGAGGUAAGCGGAAUAUGUCAUGUAGCGGUGAAAUGCUUAGAUAUGACAUAGAACACCAAUUGCGAAGGCAGCUUACUACACAGUUAUUGACGCUGAGGCACGAAAGCGUGGGGAUCAAAACGG